Lolium perenne is the source of this 1161-nucleotide non-coding RNA. NCBI's taxonomy places the organism in Eukaryota, Viridiplantae, Streptophyta, Magnoliopsida, Poales, Poaceae. The record is from RefSeq and is a predicted model, not a curated record.
GGAUGGUGACAGGUUCCAGUGUCUGGUGUUCCUGAUGCUUUAUUGAUGCCCUUUAUGAUGCAAGAAUGGUGUUUGCGCUCACCCGACAUGAAUGGCAAACCUCGAAUGGUAAGAUUCUUUACCAGGUUGAUAAAACAUGAGUAAAACAUGAAAUAAGAAACCAAGGUAAUUUUUUCGAAUUGUUAUUGGACCCAGCUCCAAUUUCUUCAAAUGGUUGUGUGAUUUGCUUGACUCAUGUGAUAAUGCAUAAUGUGGUUGUGGUGCAUUUCUCAGCUGGCUACAUGGAUGCAAGCAUAAUAAGAGACUGCUGAAAGGCUGAUCUCAUAGCUUUGCUACUCAAGAUUCAUUCGUCCAAUUUUGGAUCCGUUGUGAUGCAGCGGUGGUCGGCGUCUUGGGACCACUGAUGUACAGUUCAUGUACAUUGCUAUAUCCUUUUCAAGAAUUUGAUUAAGAAACCUAUGAAUGGACCCGUGAUGUAACUUCACCUCUGGUACUUUCAUUGAUUACGAAUAUUUCUGAAAACAUGAAUUCCUCUGUUUUAUUGGUUACCACAUUUGUGGUAUUAUUCCCAAGGGUAUGUUCUAAUCACCUGCAUUUCUAAACCAGCAUAUCUAAGAGCUGAAGUACAUUCUGCUUGUAUUUUUGCAGAAGCGCAUUGUAUUCAAGCCCUUGUCAAAAGUAUUCACAACUCAUAGCAUGUGCAGUCUUUAGCACUUCGAGCUUGCCGCUGAUCACAUCCCACAUUGCGGUUUCAGCAUUUGUCAAUAAAAUUACAUUUGAUCGGGGGCAAGAAAGGUGCAUGGUAUCAUGAAGAGGGCAUGCUUUUGUGUGGGGGUAAGACCUGAGUUGAUCAUGGCUGAUGAAUAUUCAUUUUAAUUGUGCUUGAUGGGUCUGCAAUUUUUAGUUGCAGAGAAGUGCCGUAGUUGACAAGGCAUAUGUUUUUGGUGCUUGACUCUUUUGGUCCUGGUCAGAACUGAUGGUGCUUGUUCUGUCCUUGUUUUUGUGGUAAAAGCGAUACGUAGCUUGGUUUAAUGGCUUGAUCUCCUUUUUGUUGUUUAUGUUGGUGGAACUGAUUAUUUAAAAAACGAAAUACCUUAGUAAGAAUCCGAGGUCUGCUUUUCCUUGCUUAUGUUGAUAUCCAGUCUCUUGUCAUCCUGCCUU